Long non-coding RNA from Malaclemys terrapin pileata, 1504 nucleotides. RefSeq lists it as uncharacterized. NCBI's taxonomy places the organism in Eukaryota, Metazoa, Chordata, Testudines, Emydidae. The transcript has 2 exons. The record is from RefSeq and is a predicted model, not a curated record.
AGCCCCACUGCAUCACCCCUUCCUCCUCACCCUCCUGGGGGACAUGCACCACAGUUUGGGGCCACUGGGUUAAAAGGUGGAAAUGUAAUUGGGGUAGGAGGGUGCAUAACUCUAUUAUAAUCCCCUUCUUCCUGCACCUCCACCUCAUCUUAAAUCUGCUGAAUCAUACUCCAGAGUUCUGUCUUUUUUUCCAGGACUUCUCAGAAAGCAUUACACAGAGUUAAACCUCGGGGCUAUUGUAUGCAGAUUUUCACCCCCCAACUGCUAACUGGCUUCAUAUCAAACAGUGAAUAUGUAUGGGGCCUGCAAGACUUCACAAUGAAACCUUCAUAGACAUUUUUAGUAGGCUUUUCUGAAACUGUAUAUUAACAGUCACCCUAAUUCUGGAUGUUUCUAGACCACUGUCCUGCCCUCUGCACGUCUGCAGAGAAACCAAGGGGAAGGUCUACACUACGGGGAUCAAUCGACCGAAGUUACACAACUCCAGCUAUGUGAAUAACGUAGCUGGAGUCGACGUUCCUUAGAUCGACCUUUUGCGUUGUCUACACUACGCUGGGUCGACAGCAGAAUCUCUCCUGUCAACUUACCUCAUGCUUCUCAUUCCAGUGGAGUACCGGAGUCGACGGGAGAGUGAGCGGCGGUCGAUUUAAGACCCACUAAAUCGACCCCUGGUGGAUUGCUCACCGCACAUCAAUCCCUCGGUAAAUGGAGAUAAGCCCCAAGUAUUCAAACUAAAAGCGCUCUCUCCUUCCUUUGGACUAAAAAAAUAAGUCAAAUACUGAAGUAUAAAGCAGGGUUACAGAAACAUGGGACUUGGUUAGGUACCUGAACUCCACAUGGGAUAUAUAUGACUUCUGUUUCCUGAAAACUGGAGCAGGAAGCCAGAGAGGAAGAGGGCUGGGUAUAGGUCUAGGCAGAAGCUCUAAAAUGAAACAGUAGCUUUAGGGGUAAUGCUGUUUUCCUUAUUCUGACAGUGUUCUUUGAUCAGUGUUAGAAGAAAGCAACUCUUUAUGUGAUUCUUUAAUAUUGUCUUCUCUCUGGGACUUUGCUGCUGUACUUAUGUAAAAUGUCAUCUAAGCAGUGAAGAGAGAAAGAUUUGUCUGCAACCUGAAAUUACCAGCAGCCACCAUAAUAUGACUUCUCAAGUUUGCUUUGCUUCAGUCACUACUGAGGGGCUCUGAGGUGUGGUAUUAUUACUAUCUGGUGGCAUUAGUUAAUUGUGAAGCAGUACCCACAGAUAAUCUUAAUGCCUUGACUAGUUUUAUUCUGUGAAGAGAGACACAGCAACAUCCAGGGAUUACACACACUAUAGAUUUGAUUUUUUUUUUUGCCAUGAGCAAUUAAGCACAUAGCAAAACAUCUAAUUUCUAAUAUUUCCAUUUUUCAUGUCAUCUGUUUGCUUCCAAACAUCUGUACAAAACUUUUCCCGUUCCCACCCUACAUGUUGCUGAAACAAGACUGGGCUAAAGAUCCUAAUGUCAAUAAAAAAAAGUGUGACCUUUGA